This is a long non-coding RNA of Eriocheir sinensis (Chinese mitten crab), 820 nucleotides long. RefSeq lists it as uncharacterized. Lineage: Eukaryota; Metazoa; Arthropoda; Malacostraca; Decapoda; Varunidae. The transcript is spliced from 3 exons. The record is from RefSeq and is a predicted model, not a curated record.
UGUCACUACAAAAUCACAUUGUUGAGUCACUACCUUCGAUUCCCGGCGCCGGCAAACGUUUCCUUGUCUGGAUUAAUUUCUCGUGCGUUUCAUUACACGCAAUGGCUGUGUGGGAGUGUACGUAAUAAAGAACAACAUUCUGGCUUUUCAGUAACAGGCAGGGAGGAGUGGGCGAGGAGGCUGGAGGAGGCAGUCUGCACCUUUGGUCUGCACGGUGUUGGGGCUGUGUGGGGACAUUAAGGAAACAGAGAGAACAAUUGUAAAGCUGCCAAAGUGUUCCUGACGCAGUGCUGGAAAAAAGGGCACAAAUGCUUGAAUAAGUGGAAAUUCCAGUGGAUUCCAGCAACAAACACAAAAUCAUAAUGCCAUAGCGUAUCACAGUGAGGAAAGUUACGUACUGCUGAGAAGGAGAGUGUGAAUAAGGGGAAGAGAGGACCGAUCGAGAGGAGGACCAAGAAGCGUCACAGGUCAAAAGAAGAAGACGUGGCUGACUGUGCACGCCCCUACGCCUCCACGCCCACCAAGUGCCCCCACGCCCACCAAGUGCCCCCACGCCUCCACGCCCACCGAGUGCUCCCACGCCUCCACGCCUCCACGCCCACCGAGCUGCGGUGUUGUGGGCCCGGGGGUGGGAGGGAUAGCGUACGACACUCAAUAAUUUGGCCCACACUCGCCUGGAGUGGGCAGAGUACUGGAGCACCUGAUGGCACUUAGACAGAAGAGGGCGUGGCAUUAACAGCCCAUCUCCUGCACCCCAGGAUGUGGUGUUGGCCAUGCUGGGAGGAGCACAGCGCCAGGAGACAGCUGCUCAAGUGAGGGU